GCGGGUGUAGUUUAGUGGUAAAACUACAGCCUUCCAAGCUGUUGUCGCGAGUUCGAUUCUCGUCACCCGCU
Molecule: non-coding RNA, 71 nt
Organism: Streptococcus ictaluri 707-05
Lineage: Bacteria; Bacillati; Bacillota; Bacilli; Lactobacillales; Streptococcaceae
Source: Rfam